RNAcentral lists this long non-coding RNA (276 nucleotides) under Carica papaya (papaya). RNAcentral's name for it is "long non-coding RNA (CPAP_LNC004995)". The record is from RNAcentral. Lineage: Eukaryota; Viridiplantae; Streptophyta; Magnoliopsida; Brassicales; Caricaceae.
GCGCAAUGUGAUGGUGGCGCGAAAACCAGAGGCACGCAACACAAACGACAGUGACACGUCGCCUACGUGACGGUGGAAUGCUGCCCAACAAUAGCGCAUGAUUCCUAAGUGGGUGGCAUGCACUGCCUGAGGCAGCACAUGUAGCCCCAACCUACCAUGCGCCGCAAGCUUAGCCUACCGCACGCACAGGCAUACGGCAUGCUGGCCUACCAUGUGCAACGGUCUUCCCCGCAUCAUUCCUAUAAAAGAAAGGAAGACAGGAGUUGGAGGCUUAAU